UCCAGGCUCAUAGGCAGAGAACCCAGACCACAGAGGUCGGUGGAGCUCUCCCCCAGGAAGGUUCCACAGCUACGCCCCUCUCAAUGCUCCAAAAGUCCAAGUGCUGAUGGAGAUCAGGGAGCAGCUGCCAAGGCCGGAAAGGAUGUGCACACAUCCCAAAAAGUGCAACCCUAACUAGUUCUGCCUCUAUCAUCGUGACCACGGCCACGAUGCAGAGGAGUGCAUUCAGCUCCGAGAUGAGAUCGAGGAGCUCAUCAGAUGAGGUCGGCUCGAUAGAUUCAUCCGAUGCCGACUUGAGAGUAGGG
This 305-nucleotide long non-coding RNA is filed under the name Elaeis guineensis (African oil palm). RNAcentral describes it as "long non-coding RNA (EGUI_LNC014536)". The record is from RNAcentral. Lineage: Eukaryota; Viridiplantae; Streptophyta; Magnoliopsida; Arecales; Arecaceae.